GACUAGGGGGCCAUCCUCUUCCUUUCGCCGUCGCCGCCGCGGAGCGGAGUCGAGCCGAGCUGAUUUGAUCGAGGAGCGCGGUUACCGGACGGGCUGGGUCUAUGGUCGCUCCGCGGGCCGCUCCGCCGGCUGGUGCUUUUUUAUCAGGGCAAGCUGUGUUCCAUGGCAGGGAACUUUUGGCAGAGCUCCCACUAUUUGCAAUGGAUUUUGGAUAAACAAGAUCUGUUGAAGGAGCGCCAAAAGGAUUUAAAGUUUCUCUCAGAGGAAGAAUAUUGGAAGUUACAAAUAUUUUUUACAAAUGGUAAACUUUUUAAAAAAUUGGUUCAAAUUGUAUAGUUGGUUACCUCUAAAUAAAAAUGUUUUUGUGUGGUAAUUUGUGAACUGUUAUAGUGCAUACCUAACAUUUUUAUUUAUACAGGUAUUCUUUUUACAACUUAUUCAUUUAUCGUUCUUUUUAGUGAUCCAAAUAAAGUUUUUUUGUGUGAAUUUUACAUAUCACCAGCACUCAAGACAAUUUGAAAGUGUUACCUAAUCUCCCUAAGACUUUAUAAUAAUUAUUAGACCCAGUUCAAGGUUGGCUAAAGCAAAGUACUUUGAGGACAAAUCAUUCUUUGGAUUGACAUCCUAUAGUGGUCAUUUCUCUUAGAACUUUGCUUUGAAGGGAAGAAGAUGUAGGGAUAGAUCUUUACUCUGACAUGUAGUAGGUUUGUCACAUAAUUUUUUUAACUUUCAGUUCACUAUUUUGUAAACUUACCUCUUUUUUUUGAGGAUUCAUUAUGGAUUUUUAUUUAUUUAUUUUGGUGAGCUGUAUAAAGCUAAGUGUGGUGGCUCACACCUGUAAUCUUAGCACUUUGGGAGGCAGAGGUGGGCAGAUCACUUGAGGCCAGGAGUUUGAGACAAGCCUGGCCAGCAUGGUGAAAUUCCCUCUACUAAAAAUACAAAAAUUAGCUGGGCGUGGUGAGGCACAAGAAUCACCUGAACCUGGGAGGUAGAGAUUGCAGUGAGCCAAGAUCGUGCUACUGCAUUCCAGCCUGGGCGACAGAAUGAGACUCUGUCUCAAAACAACAAAAAGUGGUAGUAUUAACAAGUUUCAUAGGUGUCUAAUAUUUUCUUU
RNAcentral lists this small RNA (1114 nucleotides) under Pongo abelii (Sumatran orangutan). Its description in RNAcentral is "retained intron". Lineage: Eukaryota; Metazoa; Chordata; Mammalia; Primates; Hominidae. The record is from RNAcentral.